CGGGUGAGUAAUGUAUGGGGAUCUGCCUGAUGGCGGGGGAUAACUACUGGAAACGGUAGCUAAUACCGCAUAAUGUCUACGGACCAAAGCGGGGGACCUCCGGGCCUCGCGCCAUCAGAUGAACCCAUAUGGGAUUAGCUAGUAGGUGAGGUAACGGCUUACCUAGGCGACGAUCCCUAGCUGGUCUGAGAGGAUGAUCAGCCACGCUGGGACUGAGACACGGCCCAG
RNAcentral lists this ribosomal RNA (228 nucleotides) under uncultured bacterium. RNAcentral's name for it is "partial 16S ribosomal RNA". It matches the Rfam family "Bacterial small subunit ribosomal RNA", at positions 103 to 334 of the family's 1533-position model. The record is from RNAcentral.